AAACCAUGAUGAGGGCAGUCUCUCUCAUACUCCUUGAAUCGCUCCCAGGCUUCAUAGAAUGAUUCUAUAUAUUGGGCAUUGUUGGAAACGUCGUAUCUUAUUUCUCAGGU
This 110-nucleotide small nucleolar RNA is filed under the name Eutrema salsugineum. RNAcentral describes it as "Plant small nucleolar RNA R71". It matches the Rfam family "Plant small nucleolar RNA R71". Rfam says of the family: R71 is a member of the C/D box family of snoRNAs containing the C (UGAUGA) and D (CUGA) box motifs. Lineage: Eukaryota; Viridiplantae; Streptophyta; Magnoliopsida; Brassicales; Brassicaceae. The record is from Rfam by way of RNAcentral.